This is a long non-coding RNA of Branchiostoma belcheri (Belcher's lancelet), 371 nucleotides long. RefSeq lists it as uncharacterized. The transcript is spliced from 4 exons. NCBI's taxonomy places the organism in Eukaryota, Metazoa, Chordata, Leptocardii, Amphioxiformes, Branchiostomatidae. The record is from RefSeq and is a predicted model, not a curated record.
CUUUCUAUCACAAGGCAAGGGCAUUCCUUCCAAGCUCAGGGAUCUGUCUCUGGAAGCGGAGGUUCUUCUGGAAGAGAUGAUACGUGAUUUCACUGGAGAAGAGGACAAAGGCAUGGCUGAAGAGCGUGAAAUGGGGCCUCCCAUGGAUGAACCGCAGCCUCCUGCGGAUGAACCGGAGUCUCCCGCGGAUGAACCGGAGCCUCCCGCGGAUGAACCCAAUGAAUACACUGUGGAAGGAUAUGAGACAGAACAGGCUCGCGAGAUAGAUGUUAUGGACUGAAACAGGCUCUAUACGGAACUGGACAACUCCGCGGUGAUCCAUGGCAGGCAUACCCGAGCUACUUUCCCAACGCCAAGGUGAAGGCCAAACU